GACGAACGCUGGCGGCGUGCUUAACACAUGCCAGUCGAACGAAGAGCGAUGGAAGCUUGCUUCUAUCAAUCUUAGUGGCGAACGGGUGAGUAACGCGUAAUCAACCUGCCCUUCAGAGGGGGACAACAGUUGGAAACGACUGCUAAUACCGCAUACGAUCUAACCUCGGCAUCGAGGAUAGAUGAAAGGUGGCCUCUACAUGUAAGCUAUCACUGAAGGAGGGGAUUGCGUCUGAUUAGCUAGUUGGAGGGGUAACGGCCCACCAAGGCGAUGAUCAGUAGCCGGGCUGAGAGGAUGAACGGCCACAUUGGGACUGAGACACGGCCCAGACUCCUACGGGAGGCAGCAGUGGGGAAUCUUCCGCAAUGGACGAAAGUCUGACGGAGCAACGCCGCGUGAGUGAUGACGGCCUUCGGGUUGUAAAGCUCUGUUAAUCGGGACGAAAGGCCUUCUUGCGAAUAGUUAGAAGGAUUGACGGUACCGGAAUAGAAAGCCACGGCUAACUACGUG
This 510-nucleotide ribosomal RNA is filed under the name uncultured bacterium. RNAcentral describes it as "partial 16S ribosomal RNA". It matches the Rfam family "Bacterial small subunit ribosomal RNA", at positions 28 to 507 of the family's 1533-position model. The record is from RNAcentral.